RNAcentral lists this ribosomal RNA (407 nucleotides) under uncultured bacterium. RNAcentral's name for it is "partial 16S ribosomal RNA". It matches the Rfam family "Bacterial small subunit ribosomal RNA", at positions 28 to 526 of the family's 1533-position model. The record is from RNAcentral.
GACGAACGCUGGCGGCGUGCCUAAUACAUGCAAGUAGGACGCAGAUGCGAACGGGUGAGUAACGCGUAGGUAACUACCUAUUAGAGGGGGAUAACUAUUGGAAAAGUUAGCUAAUACCGCAUACUAGUAGAUGGACCUGCGUUGUAUUAGCUAGUAGGUAGGGUAAUGGCCUACCUAGGCAACGAAACAUAGCCGUCUUGCGUGGGUGGUCGGCCACACUGGGACUGAGAAACGGGCCAGACUCCUACGGGAGGCAGCAGUAUGGGAUCUGCGGCAAUGGGGGGAACCCUGACCAAGCAACGCCGCGUGAGUGAAGAAGGUUGUCGGAUCGUAAAGCGCUGUUGUUUAGGACGCGGUACUUAAACAGAAAGGGACGGCUAACUACGUGCCAGCAGCCGCGGUAAUAC